CCUACGGGAGGCAGCAGUGAGGAAUAUUGGUCAAUGGGAGAGAUCCUGAACCAGCCAAGCCGCGUGAGGGAAGACGGCCCUAUGGGUUGUAAACCUCUUUUGUCGGAGAACAAAACCCGGGACGUGUCCCGGACUGCGUGUAUCCGAAGAAAAAGCAUCGGCUAACUCCGUGCCAGCAGCCGCGGUAAUACGGAGGAUGCGAGCGUUAUCCGGAUUUAUUGGGUUUAAAGGGUGCGUAGACGGUUAUGUAAGUCUGGAGUGAAAGCCCGGGGCCCAACCCCGGGACUGCUUUGGAAACUGUGGAACUGGAGUACAGGAGGGGCAGGCGGAAUUCCUGGUGUAGCGGUGAAAUGCGUAGAUAUCAGGAGGAACACCGGCGGCGAAGGCGGCCUGCUGGACUGAAACUGACGUUGAGGCUCGAAAGCGUGGGGAGCAAACAGGAUUAGAUACCCUAGUAGUC
RNAcentral lists this ribosomal RNA (460 nucleotides) under uncultured bacterium. RNAcentral's name for it is "partial 16S ribosomal RNA". It matches the Rfam family "Bacterial small subunit ribosomal RNA", at positions 338 to 795 of the family's 1533-position model. The record is from RNAcentral.